UACGUAGGGACGAGCGUUGUCCGGAAUUACUGGGCGUAAAGGGCGCGCAGGCGGUAUAUCAAGUCAGCCUGUCAAAGACUGGGGCUCAACCCUGGUAUGCGGUUGAAACUGAUAUGCUGGAGUGCUGUAGAGGCAAGUGGAAUUCCCAGUGUAGCGGUGAAAUGCGUAGAUAUUGGGAAGAACACCGGUGGCGAAGGCGACUUGCUGGGCAGCAACUGACGCUGAGGCGCGAAAGCCAGGGGAGCAAACGGGAUUAGA
RNAcentral lists this ribosomal RNA (258 nucleotides) under uncultured prokaryote. RNAcentral describes it as "partial 16S ribosomal RNA". It matches the Rfam family "Bacterial small subunit ribosomal RNA", at positions 524 to 782 of the family's 1533-position model. The record is from RNAcentral.